GAUGAACGCUAGCGGGAGGCCUAACACAUGCAAGCCGAGCGGUAUUUGUCCUUCGGGACAGCGAGAGCGGCGUACGGGUGCGGAACACGUGUGCAACCUGCCUUUAUCUGGGGGAUAGCCUUUCGAAAGGAAGAUUAAUACCCCAUAAUAUAUCGAAUGGCAUCAUUCGAUAUUGAAAACUCCGGUGGAUAGAGAUGGGCACGCGCAAGAUUAGAUAGUUGGUGAGGUAACGGCUCACCAAGUCAGUGAUCUUUAGGGGGCCUGAGAGGGUGAUCCCCCACACUGGUACUGAGACACGGACCAGACUCCUACGGGAGGCAGCAGUGAGGAAUAUUGGACAAUGGGUGAGAGCCUGAUCCAGCCAUCCCGCGUGAAGGACUAAGGCCCUAUGGGUUGUAAACUUCUUUUAUACUGGGAUAAACCUACUUACGUGUAAGUAGCUGAAGGUACAGUAUGAAUAAGCACCGGCUAACUCCGUG
Molecule: ribosomal RNA, 479 nt
Filed under: uncultured bacterium
Lineage: Bacteria
Description: partial 16S ribosomal RNA
Rfam family: Bacterial small subunit ribosomal RNA
Source: RNAcentral